Molecule: ribosomal RNA, 483 nt
Filed under: Sclerotinia minor
Lineage: Eukaryota; Fungi; Ascomycota; Leotiomycetes; Helotiales; Sclerotiniaceae
Description: eukaryotic LSU rRNA
Source: RNAcentral
AGAGUUCAUGCCUGAAAGGGUAGACCUCCCACCCUUGUGUGUUGUUACUUUGUUGCUCUGGCSAGCUGCUCUCCGGGGCCUAUGUACGCUCGCCAGAGAAUAUCAAAACUAUUUUUAUUAAUGUCGUCUGAUGUACUAUAUAAUAUUUAAAACUUUCAACAACGGAUCUCUUGGUUCUGGCUAAUCGAUGAAGAACGCAGCGAAAUGCGAUAAGUAAUGUGAAUUGCAGAAUUCAGUGAAUCAUCGAAUCUUUGAACGCACAUUGCGCCCCUUGGUAUUCCGGGGGGCUCGCCUGUUCGAGCGUCAUUUCAACCCUCAAGCUCAGCUUGGUAUUGAGUCCAUGUCAGCAAUGGCUCAGGCUCUAGUAUCAGUGGCGGCGCCGCUGGGUCCUGAACGUAGUAAUAUCUCUCGUCACAGGUUCUCGGUGUGCUUCUGCCAAAACCCAAAUUUUCUAUGGUUGACCUCGGAUCAGGGGUAGGGAUA